CCCUCCUUCGAGGACCAGGAAGAAUUCUGGAGCUUUGGGCCCUUCCUUUCUGGCUCUGAUUCUACCGCCAGGCUCGACGCCCCCAGAAGUGCAGGUGGCGUUACCAAAGGCCGGCUCAGCCAGCUUCCGGCCGCCGCUGUCCCCCGCACCACCCACAGCCGGAAGCCGGCUGCCGCGCGGCAUCCCGGGAGGCUCCGCUUGCCCCGCCCCACGCCGGUGCGCCGCGGGCCUCUGGUCCGCUGCCGUGUUCGGCCCCGCCCGUCACGUCUAGCUGGGGCUCGCCCGGCGCCUUCCUGGACGCAGACGUAUGAGUCCCAACUCCACCCAGUCCGGCCUGGCCUCUGUCCCCGGGUGACCGCGGAAUGGGGGGGCGGGAGCUAGCGAGCAGGCCCUCAAGCGCGUCUGGCCGCCUCCUUUGUCUUGAUGCCCACGUCUGGUUAGGACCCCUGCUGUCCAUUUUAUUAAAGGAGCUGUAGAAAGCGGCCUGGGGCCCAGCGACCUGCCCAGGGCGGACGAGGAGGCGCGACUGGCCCGAUGCCGCAGGCUCUCUGCCCAGUGUGCUCAGGUGGGAGGGCGGGGACAUGAAUCGAGCCACAGAGUGCCCUGGGCACGGACCCCCCGCCCCCCCCGGCCCCGGGCCCCGAGCCCCGAGCCCCGAGCCCGGCCACCGAAGCCCGUGCCACUCGCCAGCUCCUGCGAGACGAGCCUUUCGAGCGCAGCUCAGGCAUUUGGUUCAGGGUCCUACUGCCGGAGUCGUCUGAGGCCUCCAUCCGUCUGUCGUCACGAAAAAGGUUUUGGGGGGACUAAUAAGCACUUCCUGAAUGCACAUUUGCUCCACGCCCCUGCUGUAGGGAGAGGGUCUGCAGACACUUCAACAAAUAGAAUCCUAGGACCUUACCUGAUCGUAUUGUAUAAAAUGGAUGAAAACAGAGCUAUUGGGUUUGAAGCACUCCUGAACCCUCUCAUGGAACCCUAUGUCUUCCUGGAGUCUACAGAGCUAUUGGGUUUGAAGCACUCCUGAACCGUCUAGUAGAACCCUAUGUCUUCCUGGAGUCUACAGAGCUAUUGGGUUUGAAGCACUCCUGAACCGUCUAGUAGAACCCUAUGUCUUCCUGGAGUUUACAGAAAAAGAGACUCAGGGAUUUUCCCAAAGCACACUGCAAGUUAGGGGCAGGAAUGACAGCCCAGACCUUCUGGUUUCCAGUCCAGGGCUCAACUGCCUAAACAGUGGCAUCUCUUCAGGCAGGCCCUGUCAGAGGCAGCUCCCAAGUUGUGAUGUUGCCACCAGUAUUAGAACACAGUGGUCUCCAAAAUCUUGCCAAUGAAUCCUCCAAGGUGCGUACCAAGUUCCGGAAUAACUGAAAGAACAUCACAUACACAGGCUGGGUACAGUAGCUCACAUCUGUAAUCCCAGCACUUUGGGAGGCCGAGGUGGGAAGACUGCUUAAGGCCAGGAGUUCAAGACCACCCUGGGCAACAUAGUGAGACCUUGUCUCUACCCUCCUCCCCAACCCCCCCCAAAAAAGCACCACCUGUCAAGGAGAAUGGCAUGGCGACAUGGCUGAAACACAGAGCCUUAUCUAAAGACCCACAGGGCUAGAAUGGAGAAAGAACUCUCAGAACAAAUUUCAGAUAGGUAAAAAACCUGGUAAUGUCAGUAGAAAAUGAGAAACAAAUAGUCUGGCUUCCUUCAAGGACUAAAGGACCUGAGUUACUCCCAUACAAUGGUGGAGAGUAGAGCCCACAAGAUUACUGAAUAGCAGAGAUCUUUGCAAUGAAUGCCAGCUUCCAGUACACACUUCCACAGGAAAGUGAAGGUUAAUCUAGCUUAAUUCAGUGCUUUAACUCCUCUAUACCUCUGACAGGAGAAAGAAAACCAGGCUACACUGGAAGUUAAAUCUCAGUUGGACUUAAACUUUUUCUAGUUUUCUUUUUUUUUGGAGACGGAGUUUCACUCUUGUUGCCAGGGCUGGAGUGCAAUGGCACAAUCUCGGCUCACUGCAACCUCCGCCCCCCGGGUUCAAGCAAUUCUCCUGUCUCAGCCUCCCAAGUAGCUGUGAUUACAGGCACCUGCCACCACACUGGCUAAUUUUUUAUUUUUUUUUAUAGAGACGGGGGUUUCACCAUGUUCGCCAGGCUGACCUCAGGUGAUCUGCCCGCCUCGGCCUCCCAAAGUGCUGGGAUUAUAAGCGUGAGCCACCGCACCCGGGACUUUUUCUAGUUUUCAACAUUGUUAUCUAUACAUCCUCAAGUGUAAGCUGUCACAGGAAGAAAAAUGUGUCUUUUUUUUUUUUUUUUUUUUUUUUGAGACAGUCUUGCCCUGUCACCCAGGCUGGAGUGCAGUGGCGUGAUCUCGGCUCACUACAACCUCCACCUCCCGGGUUCAAGCAAUUCUCCUGCCUCAGCUUCCUGAGUAGCUGGGACUACAGGCACCUGCCACCAUGCCUGGCUAAUUUUUGUAUUUUUAGUAGAGACAGGGUUUCACCAUAUUGGCCAGACUGGUCUUGAUCUCCUGACUUUCUGAUCUGCCCACUUCGGCCUCCCAAAGUGCUGGGAUUACAGGUGUGAGCCACCGCGCCCGGCCAAUUAUUUCUUUCUUUCUUUCUUUUUCUUUUUUUUUUUUUUUUUUUGAGACGGAGUCUUGCCCUGUCACCCAGGCUGGAGUGCAGUGGUGCGAUCUUGGCUCACGGCAAGCUCCACCUCCCAGGUUCACGCCACUCUCCUGCCUCAGUCUCCUGAGUAGCUGGGACGACAGAUGCAUGCCACUACGCCUGGCUAAUUUUUGUAUUUUUAGUAGAGGCGGAGUUUCACCAUGUUGGCCAGCUGGUCUCGAACUCCUGACCUCAGGUAUCUGCCUGCCUCGGCCUCCCAAACUGUUGGGAUUACAGACAUGAGCCACCGUGCCUGGCAAAAUGUGUAGUUCUUUUACAUGGGCAAGUUUCUACUAUUAAAAAAAAAAUAACCAUGACAGGGCAUCCUAAGUAGCCUAGUUAGCAGUGGCAGCUACUGCCCUCAGUAGCACGUCAUAAGCAAGAGCAAAGUAAACAUCCAAAUAAAAUGAAUUAAGCCAGCUUGCCACAGCCUAGCAUUGCAAGUCUACAGUAUGCAAUUUCACAUGUCAAAUCAGCAAGAAAAUUCCUAAAGUCUUUAGCUAAAAUUACAGUAAUUAAACAACUCUUUUGAUAAGCACUUGAGUAAGAACCCCAGAUAUUCCUGAAGAAACUGUGUUACAGCUCAAAAGAAUUUAGGAGCCUAGUGUAGUAAGGCCCGUUGUAUUGCCUGACUUUUACUCAGGGCUCAACCCAGUUUCAAGCCUACUUAAUAAUUCGUAUCCCAAGAAAGCCCUUAUUAGCCUCUUUGCUAGCUGAAUAAAUUCUAACUCCACCAUGGCUUCUGUGGAGGCCCAGGCUAUGAUAUGUUGCAGAAAUAGUGUCUGAGGACAAAGAACAGAUAAGAAAGUUAAACUCUGCAUAACCCAUUCAGUAAUGUGUAAUGAAAAUAUCACUCUCAAAAGUGGAAGUCUCCCCUUUCUUCUGAAGGGCAUUAAGGGAUACUCAUGGCUCAGCAAAUUCUGAAGUAGAAAUUGUCACAGUGCUGUAGGUGGAAGAGACUCAACAAUGCCAUCAUGAAAAAAACUUCUGGAAUUAUUCACAACAGUAAAAUUAUGACCAACUUACAGUCCUAGGAGAUGGAUUGCAGAAAUCUUUAAGACCAUCCAUAAGAAAUGGCUUUCAAACUUAUUUGAAAUCAAUUUGACAUCACAACCCACUUUUCAUACAUGUAUAAACUGAAAUUGGUUUCACAAAGUAUUAUUUCCCUUAUAACAUGCUACAUAUUUUCCCUUCUAUUAAAAAAGUUGGCUGUCACCCAUGAAGUUUGUUACCAGUUGGUCAUGACUAGAGGUUAAAAAGCACUGAUCAAUUGCUGUAAUCUUAAAAAAAAAAAAAAAAAGGCAACAUAACACAGUUGCUAAGAGUACUAACUUUGAAGUAGGACUGCCCAGGUUCAAAUCCUGACACCGCUACUUGGCUAUGAAGCCCAAGUCCUAGGUCAUGUCACUAACUUCGGUGCUUCAGUUUCCCCCUCCAGAAAUCAAGAGAAACCUUCUAAUAAAACUUUGUUAUCAAACUGAGUUUUAUUUGUGAGGAUGCCUAAAAAACAUGCCUAUUAAGAAGUGAAGAUGCUGGCCCCAAGAUUCCGUGUAGCUUGCCAGUGAGUGGGAAGAUUGGCCCGGGACCCUGGCUGAUGGCCUUUCCACUAUAUUGCAGCAUUGAGCAUGCAAAUAACAUUGAUUAUAUAAGGGCCUUUGGUGUAAAGCAUGUAAAAUAAAUGUGACAAGCAAUGCUGGAUGAUAAAUGCUUAUUUCCUUACUUUCAGAAAGUAACUAGAGGGCUCAUGCCUUAAAAAAAAAAAAAACUUACCAGAUAAAUAUGAACUAAAGCCUUCAUUUUCUGAGUGGCAAGGAAAAAAAACAAUUUUCAUUAAGAAUUCUUUUUAAUUUAGCCAGUAGAGAUUGAGAUUUGGAGUUAUUUGCCUCUGAUUCUUGUCUAGUUUCAGGCCAAACACUAGCUAGUUGCUAGGACCUUGGCCAAGUCUGCAGUCUCUUUGGGCUCAUUUCUAUAAUCGUAAGAUGAGAGUUAGGCCCAGGAUGUUGUAACACUGCCCCUUUUGAGGUUUUCCCCAAAGGGCAAAACUGACAGACUAAGGGGAAAGUCAAAGAAAAGAAAAACAAAAAUCAUCUCCAAAGAUGCUAGAAAAAAAAAAAGAAUAGCGUUAUUUACUUGCCAUAGUAAGGAUGGUGAAGUACUCACAGCAGGCAAUAGUGGCACAGAAAUUAACUUGGUAUGGCGUCUUGAGUUCAACCUCUAGUUGGCUACCUAAUAGACACGUACAUAAAUGUUUUUGUUUUAGGACAGGGUCUCACUCUAUCACUGGGGCUGGACUGCAGUGGUGCAAUCACAGCUUAUCACAGCCUUGACCUCCCGGGCUCAGGUGAUCCUCCCACCUCAGUCUGGCAAGCAGCUGGGACUACAGGCGUGCAUCACCAUGCCUGGCUAGUAUUUUUGUAGAGGCAGGGUUUUGCCAUGUUGUCCACUGGUCUCAAACUCCCGGGCUCAAAAGAUCCACCUGCCUUGGCGUCCCAAAGUACUGGGAUUAUAGGCGUGAGCCAUGGCACAAGGCUCACAUACAUAACUUUGAGCUAAUAAUUUCAUUUCUUUUUUUUUGAGACGGAGUCUCGCUUUGUCGCCCAGGCUGCAGUACAGUGGUGUGAUCUCAGCUCACUGCAAGCUCCACCUGCCGGGUUCACGCCAUUCUCCUGCCUCAGCGUCCCGAGUAGCUGAGACUACAGGAGCCUGCCACCAUGCCCGGCUAAUUUUUUUUGUAUUUUUAGUAGAGACGGGGAUUCACCGUGUUAGCCAGGAUGGUCUCGAUCUCCUGACCUCAUGAUCCGCCCGCCUCGGCCUCCCAAAGUGCUGGGAUUACAGGCGUGAGCCACCACACCCAGCCAUAAUUUCAUUUUUUUCUGAUCAGAUGUUCUGUCACUUAAGGGCACUUGAGAUGAUUAAAUAUGAAUGUGCAUAGUACAUGACCAGGUAUCCAAAAAGACUUCAAUAAACCUUGGUUCCUUCUAACUAAAAGGGCUGUAUAAACAUGCUAAGGUGUUAUAAUUUUAGGGGCAGUUUCCAGCAUUUCCUCCCGGGUAUUAUUACUUGCCACCUCCAAAGCAUUAGCUCUGAAGGCAUAACCUUUUCUUUUUUUUUCUUCUGAAAGAGACAGGGUCUCUUUGCAUUGCUCAAGCUGGAGUGCAGUAGCUAUUCACAGGCAUGAUCAUCAAGCACCACAGCCCCAAACUCCUGGGCUCAAGUGAUCUUCCUACCUCAGCAUAGCUGGGACAACAGGGUCAUGCCACUGCACCUAGCUGGCAUAGAAAUUUUUUUUUUUUGAGACACUGUCUCAUUCUGUUGCUCAGGCUGGAGUGCAGUGGCACACUGCAGCCUCAAUCUUUCGGGCUUAAGCAAUCUUCCCACCUCAGCCCCCUGAAUAGCGAGGACCACAGGCGUGCACCACUAUGCCCCGCUAAUUUUUGUAUUUUUUGUAGAGAUGGGUUUUGCCAUGUUGCCCGGCUGGUCUCAAACUCCUAGGCUCAAGCAGUCCACCCACCUCGGUCUCCUGAAGUGCUGGGAUUACAGGCACGAGCCACAGUGCUUGGCCAGCAUAGCCACUUUAAAAUGAAGUGUGGGUUAAGGAGUAAACUGGCAAGUUUGCCCCAAAUUCGAUUUCAUGAUGAUCUUGACAUCUACACAGUGGUGUCACUUAACAGGAGUAUGUUCUGAAAAACGCCUCGUUAGGCGACUUCAUCGUUGUGCAAAUAUCACAGGAUGUACUUACACAAGUACAUGGCAGAGCCUACUACACACCUAGGCUAUGUAGUAAAGCCUAUAUUCCUAGGCUACAAACACGUACAGCACGUUACCGUACUAACUACUGUAGGCAAUUUCAACAACACUAAAUAUUUGCUGAACACAAAAGAUACAGUAAAAAUCACUGCUGUAUAUGCAGUUCUUGCUACACGUAAACUGUUUAGCUAAAUAACAUUAAUUCCAGAGAAGGCAAAGCUUACCAAAUACAAAUUCUACAUGGGAGAGUGAUAGAGAUAUAAGGCAGAAUAAAACAUGCAAAAUUGCAGUCAGGCGCGGUGGCUCACACCUGUAAUCUCAGCACUUUGGGGGGCCAAGGUGGGCAGAUCACCUGAGGUCACAAGUUCAAGACCAGCCUGGCCAACAUGGCGAAACCCCAUCUCUACUAAAACUACAAAAAUUAGCCAUGCGCGGUGGAGGGCACCUGUAAUCCCAGCUACUCAGGAGGCUGAGGGAGGAGAAUCGUUUGAACCCGUGAGGUAGAGGCUGCAGUGAGCUGAGUUUGUGCCAUUGC
This 6933-nucleotide long non-coding RNA is filed under the name Homo sapiens (human). Its description in RNAcentral is "non-protein coding lnc-IAH1-2:9". The record is from RNAcentral. Lineage: Eukaryota; Metazoa; Chordata; Mammalia; Primates; Hominidae.